RNAcentral lists this ribosomal RNA (429 nucleotides) under Bacteroidota bacterium. Its description in RNAcentral is "Bacteroidetes bacterium partial 16S ribosomal RNA". It matches the Rfam family "Bacterial small subunit ribosomal RNA", at positions 355 to 776 of the family's 1533-position model. Lineage: Bacteria; Pseudomonadati; Bacteroidota. The record is from RNAcentral.
UAGGGAAUCUUCGGCAAUGGGGGGAACCCUGACCGAGCAACGCCGCGUGAGUGAAGAAGGUUUUCGGAUCGUAAAGCCCUGUUGUUAAGGAAGAACGAGUGUGAGAAUGGAAAGUUCAUACUGUUACGGUACUUAACCAGAAAGGGACGGCUAACUACGUGCCAGCAGCCGCGGUAAUACGUAGGUCCCGAGCGUUGUCCGGAUUUAUUGGGCGUAAAGCGAGCGCAGGCGGUUAGAUAAGUCUGAAGUUAAAGGCAGUGGCUCAACCAUUGUAGGCUUUGGAAACUGUUGAACUUGAGUGCAGAAGGGGAGAGUGGAAUUCCAUGUGUAGCGGUGAAAUGCGUAGAUAUAUGGAGGAACACCGGUGGCGAAAGCGGCUCUCUGGUCUGUAACUGACGCUGAGGCUCGAAAGCGUGGGGAGCGAACAGG